This is a non-coding RNA of Pholiota molesta, 87 nucleotides long. NCBI's taxonomy places the organism in Eukaryota, Fungi, Basidiomycota, Agaricomycetes, Agaricales, Strophariaceae. The record is from the annotation of a GenBank genome assembly.
UCGGGUAUGGUGUAACGGCUAACAUUGCCGCCUCUCAAACUUUAAAGAGUGUCGCGGCAGCUCGGGGUUCGAUUCCCCGUACCCGAA